This 2148-nucleotide long non-coding RNA is filed under the name Lotus japonicus. RNAcentral describes it as "long non-coding RNA (LJAP_LNC000131)". Lineage: Eukaryota; Viridiplantae; Streptophyta; Magnoliopsida; Fabales; Fabaceae. The record is from RNAcentral.
GCUAUCAUGAGCUCUAAAUUUCCUGUCUCAUUAUGAUACUAUUUCCAACUUCCAAGGUUAUCUACUGCUUGGAUCUUUGCAUGAUGAUGGUUAAAAAGUGGAUUUUGGUGGACCUGCUCAAUCUGAUUAAGAAAAGGGUUGGUUUCUGUGUUGCACAGUUGCAGCAUUCAAGUCUUCUCAUUAUCUUCGCUGUCUUCACUAUUUUUUGAUGUCUUUAUAAGCAUGACUUUUAAUCCAUGAACCAACUAUAUUUUAAUUUUCUGUUUUCUGUGCAUUCUUUUUAGUCCAUGUUGUUUAUGAUGCAUAUGACUUGGAAGUAUAGGUGUGGUUUCAUUGCAGUAGUAAGUUCCAGAAAAUAUAUGGAGUUAAUGGUUGCGUUUGGUGUUGGAUUGUUCCGAACAAAUGUGCUUUAACCCCAUCUCAGUGUGUUUGGUAGUGUAUGGUCGUUGGUUUCUAAUGACUUAAAAUUGUUACCGAUUGUUGAUAAGGAUUUAGAUUUGAAUAUUGGCUUGAGGAAUUAUUAUUGCACUCAUAAUUUAAUAGUUUCUGUUUUUAUAUACCAAGCGGGAUAAAACAAAAUAUAUAAUCUUGAUUUGUAAUCAUUCUACUGUGCUUGGGUUAAGGACGUAUCUCUAUGGAUUUAAAGGUGACUUAUCGACUUAUUUUAACUUAUGGAAAAAAUUCAAUUAAGGGGAAUAUAUCUCUAUGGUGAUUCACUUAUUGUGUACUUAUCUCUCUCUGUAUUUAGUCUUCUGGAACUUCUACAACCACUUCUUUUUCCUCUGUCACAUGUUCAGUUUAUUGGUUAAUGUAGUUUUCCUUAUUCCUUUUUCCUCUUCAAAAGAACAUGGAAGUGAUAAUAAAUGCAAUGGUGACAUGAAAUAGACUUGGUCUGCAGUGGUUGAGCUAAGCUUGAUAUUGCAAGAUGUUAGAAUUCUAGGAUUCCAAUUCUUAUGUUUUAACUACUAAAUUUAAGCCUUUGAAAGUUGGCAAGCUAUAGCAAUCAAGAAGAGGUAUUCUUGUGGUAGAGUUAUAUAGCUGACCUCUUAUAUAUUGAACUCUUUUCUCUUCCUCCUUUUGGUUAUUUUCUUUAAAUGAUGAUGUUUCCAUGAAAUUAAGCUCAAUUAUUAAAGACCGCAUUUAGAAUGAUGAGGACAUGAGAGUUUUAGUAUCUAAGCUUUCAUCUCCUAUUUCAUCUCAACUCCUUCAACAGCAUCUGAAUGUAUUUUUUCCUAUCUUUUAUUUUAAUUGUUUUCUGAGCUUAGGAUGGUUAAUUACUUUUCUGUUCUAUUUCAGGGAACUCUUCUCAGACCUUGGUGGAUUUAACUUGUGGUUCUCUUUUCACAAUGAACCUUGUGCAAUUGGUCUCCAAGAAGCACUUGGAUAUUGAAAAGGAAGAAGAUGACAAGAUGUAUCUAUUAUGGAGAAUGGGAGCACGAGUCUGUUUGGCUUAUGUACGGAGGGAAGAUGUAUUGCGGUGUGGUGGCACUGGAAUGUCGAUGAUGGAGAAAGUGAGCCAUUUUUAUCCCUUCUUUGUAAGUAGUGUAAACAUGAAACCAAAUCUAGGGAAAAGAGUAGCAUAUCAUUUGUUGAUGACCUUUGAUUGGUGGUCUUAGCUAACAUGGAAUUUAAUUUAGAACUUUAUUUGUGGGCUUCUAUUACCCAUCUACUGUGUAUGUGAGUGUGAAAUAGAAGGCAUAAGAGCAUGCCAUGGACAUCCAAGCUGGUUUGUUUCUUGGGGGGCUUUUUCAAAUUGCACAUUGCACAAUUACUCAACAUAAAUAUUAUAGCAUAUUACUGUUAAGGGGUCUUAUAAAUGGGGACGGAGGGAGAACUUUGUAGAGAAAAUCAACUUAUCAUUUUCAUUCUUAUUAAGAGUAUAUUCUCUGUUUCAUAUGCUUCAUAUGAUGAAUAUUUAUCACUGAUCUCUAUUUUUUUCUUUCAAUAGGGGGAUACCAGCAGAGGUUGCACCAUUUGUUCGUAAGCAUGGGAAAGCUCCAUGGACCUUAAUGGGCACAUAUGGAAAAAAGACUCUCAGAUACUUGCACCUGAAAAACCCAAGAAAGUAGCAAAGUUUGGAUCUGGCUGCAAACAAUUCUGCAGAGAACUAAUUAAAGCAACUCAUUACUUGUGGUUCAGGUUCACAGG